Long non-coding RNA from Hyaena hyaena (striped hyena), 1229 nucleotides. RefSeq lists it as uncharacterized. The record is from RefSeq and is a predicted model, not a curated record. NCBI's taxonomy places the organism in Eukaryota, Metazoa, Chordata, Mammalia, Carnivora, Hyaenidae. The transcript is spliced from 2 exons.
UCUCAAAAUAAAUAAAUAAAAUCAAUAAACUUUAAAAAAAGAAUGCAAAAUUGGGAAGCUAAGAGCAUGGUGUGUAUUAAUUCACAUAAACUUUGGAUAUUAGCAUGGAAAUGUUAAUAACUAGAAAUGACCGAAUUCUCUGUGUUUGUCUGUUGUGGGAAUAAACCCCCCUGGGGAUGGAUCAAAAAUAUCUGGAAAUUACUUGAAACCGGCGGAUAACUAAAUGAGUAUUAUGACUAAAAUGUGCUAUAAUCCAUUUGUAUUCUUUUUGUCUCCUAAGGGUUGGUUCUGGCAAACUCUAUGCAGUGAGUACUGCAAAAAUUACAUAAGGCCUCAAAAGCUGUUCUGUGUAAACUUUGCGAGUGGGGGAUCUUUGACCAUAACAUUUGGUAGAUUAACUCUUAUAAUUCUAUGUAUGUAUUGACUCUAUGUUCUGACAUUUUGACCAGUUUGGGGAGAACUGAAUUGUCCCAACGUUGAACCCAGGGUUGUGCUGGCAAAUGCAUAACAAAUGGUUCUUUGGGUGGAAAGGCCUGAUUUACAGGGUUUGCCAGUUUCCGUGGCAGAAAUACUUCCACCAUGGCUGACUGCGAGCCACGAGCGGACGCCACUGAAUGCAGAAUCAGGCGAGGUGUAUGCUGCCCACCUUGUAAGUUGGCUUAGGCCACUGUAUGUACCCAUGGGCGUGUGUGCAACUGCAGUUUUGUUUUUUUUACUAAAAUUUCUGCCCCAUAGAUAUACAAGGGCACUAGUGAAAAAAAUAUAUAAAGGGAAAAUAAAAUAAAUUCAUGUUGGGAGCUCGAAUGGUGAUAAUUGACAGUGGAUUUCUUUUUAACGUUAAGAAGUGGUCUUUGUGUAUAUUCCGCACUUUAUUCUUAUCUUUUAUUACACGAACAAGGUAUCGACGUAUCAUUCCGAGUCUUCUGAACUCUUAGUUUCAGCGGGGUUCUCCUAGAACCUAGAAGCUAGGGUUUCUUCCCUUCCAGAUGUUGGUGUGAGGUCAAUACUGACCAAAGAGUCAAUGACAUCUGUUCAUUGUGAAGCCAGUCUCGGGAUGAUUGAGCUGAGGGCCAAGACAGAAGAAUAGAUAUGGAGCCUUCUGAAUUUGGGGCAGUCAACACAAUACAGACCCAUGGUUUGCAGAGGAUGCCAGCAGAUUGGAGAGAACCAGGGCUUCUGGCUAUUCCAGGGAUGACCUUUAAGAGUUCUUUGCCUUCUCUUUCCCAGUA